UCAUAGGCAAUUGUGACCUAUACUGAGAGUAUAGCUGUUGUUUCAGUUAUUUAGAUGAUGUCAUAGAAGUAAUUAAUUAGCUCACUAAAAAACCUCAUGGGGCCAGGCGCAGUGGCUCACGCCUGCAAUCCCAGCACUUUGGGAGGCCGAGGUGGGCGGAUCACAAGGUCAGGAGAUCGAGACCAUCCUGGCUAACACGGUGAAACCCCGUCUCUACUAAAAAUACAAAAAAUUAGCCGGGCGUGGUGGCGGGCGCCUGUAGUCCCAGCUACUCGGGAGGCUGAGGC
This 287-nucleotide long non-coding RNA is filed under the name Homo sapiens (human). RNAcentral describes it as "HSALNT0354935". The record is from RNAcentral. Lineage: Eukaryota; Metazoa; Chordata; Mammalia; Primates; Hominidae.